GACGAACGCUGGCGGCGUGCUUAACACAUGCAAGUCGAACGGAAAGGCCCUGCUUGCAGGGUACUCGAGUGGCGAACGGGUGAGUAACACGUGGGUGAUCUGCCCUGCACUUCGGGAUAAGCCUGGGAAACUGGGUCUAAUACCGGAUAGGAGCCAUUUUUAGUGUGAUGGUUGGAAAGUUUUUUCGGUGUAGGAUGAGCUCGCGGCCUAUCAGCUUGUUGGUGGGGUAAUUGCCUACCAAGGCGGCGACGGGUAGCCGGCCUGGGAGGGUGGACGGCAACAUUGAGACUUAGAUACAGCCCAGACUCCUACGGGAAGCAGCAGUGGGGAAUACUGUACAAAUGGCGUAAGCCUGAUGCAGCGACGCCGCGUGGGGGAUGACGGCCUUCGGGUUGAAAACUCCUUUCGCUAGGGACGAAGCUUUUUGUGACGGUACCUAGAUAAGAAGCACCGGCUAACUACGUG
RNAcentral lists this ribosomal RNA (465 nucleotides) under uncultured bacterium. Its description in RNAcentral is "partial 16S ribosomal RNA". It matches the Rfam family "Bacterial small subunit ribosomal RNA", at positions 28 to 507 of the family's 1533-position model. The record is from RNAcentral.